RNAcentral lists this ribosomal RNA (304 nucleotides) under uncultured bacterium. RNAcentral describes it as "partial 16S ribosomal RNA". It matches the Rfam family "Bacterial small subunit ribosomal RNA", at positions 506 to 807 of the family's 1533-position model. The record is from RNAcentral.
CAGCAGUAGCCGCGGGAAUACGUAGGGUGCAAGCGUUAAUCGGAAUUACUGGGCGUAAAGCGUGCGCAGGCGGUUAUACAAGACAGAUGUGAAAUCCCCGGGCUCAACCUGGGAACUGCAUUUGUGACUGUAUAGCUAGAGUACGGCAGAGGGGGAUGGAAUUCCGCGUGUAGCAGUGAAAUGCGUAGAUAUGCGGAGGAACACCGAUGGCGAAGGCAAUCCCCUGGGCCUGUACUGACGCUCAUGCACGAAAGCGUGGGGAGCAAACAGGAUUAGAGACCCCCGUAGUCCCUGUCUCUUAUAC